CUCGGGUGGAUACGGAUGCAAAAGAGUCUGAGAAAGACAAAGAGAAGUUUCGGUAUCGGAAGAUUCCGAAAACUUUUGGGAACUGGAUUAGAGCAUUUCUAUCCUGGCUAGCGUGAUAGGUGUAAAGACUCCCAGCAAAUGCUCUGUUUUGCUACCAGGACAUGAUAUGGAACGCUUGUCGGGUUUAUGGCGGGUUAGGGUGGUGGCGGUAUGAUGAACAGUUCCGCCAACGAUUAGUGGUUGGGAUCAAAUGGACAUCGGCUUGUGGUUGGCUAUCAUGACCCGCCCGGCCUCGCAUCAAGGGGGCCUUUCCACUGGUUGGGAUCAAAUGGACAUCGGCUUGUGGUUGGCUAUCAUGACCCGCCCGGCCUCGCAUCAAGGGGGCCUUUCGUCCUUUCUUGGGGGGGCCGGCGCUGGGUCCUCAUCUUCAGCGUCGGCCGGUCAGCGGAAGACUGGGUGCUGUUGGCAAUAUAAUGAUGGCCAAUGCAAGUUUGGAUCAGGUUGUCGCUUCAAGCAUGAAUGUUCUGGGUGCGGCGGGUCCCACCCUGCGUCAAAAUGCUUUAAACGUGGCAAGUCUGGCGAAAAAGGAGAUUCCGUGGGCGCUAAGGGCGAGGACGCCAGUGGACGUCGACGCGAUGCGCCCAUGGCUAAAGCGUUAUAACAAUAAGAAGGCGACUGCCUUGUUAUUGGAGGGUUUUGGGCAGGGUUUUUGGAUCCCUCACCGGGCUCGGCAGGUCUCCGGUUUCUGCCGAAACCUGAGGUUGGUUGCUGAUCACCCGGGGGUGGUCCGGGAAAAAUUGGCCAAGGAGGUAGCGUUGGGCCGCAUGGCGGGCCCCUUUCGGGAACCUCCACUCCCCGAUCUGAGGGUUUCACCACUAGGUGUCGUGACAAAAAGGGAACCAGGAAAGUUUAGGCUGAUUCACCAUUUAUCGCACCCUCAUGGGGGCUCGGUGAAUGAUGACAUUGCCGCUGAAUUGUGCC
Pelobates cultripes (western spadefoot toad) is the source of this 981-nucleotide non-coding RNA. NCBI's taxonomy places the organism in Eukaryota, Metazoa, Chordata, Amphibia, Anura, Pelobatidae. The record is from the annotation of a GenBank genome assembly.